Molecule: long non-coding RNA, 85 nt
Organism: Sinocyclocheilus rhinocerous
Lineage: Eukaryota; Metazoa; Chordata; Actinopteri; Cypriniformes; Cyprinidae
Exons: 3
Source: RefSeq, a predicted model, not a curated record
AUUCAUUGGUACUUUAAAGACAUUGAAUUCGAGUUUAUACUGGGUUACAGUGUGCGUACAUGUGAAGUAAGGACACGUUCUAGAU